Molecule: non-coding RNA, 184 nt
Organism: Desulfovibrio desulfuricans
Lineage: Bacteria; Pseudomonadati; Thermodesulfobacteriota; Desulfovibrionia; Desulfovibrionales; Desulfovibrionaceae
Source: Rfam
GCUUCCCUGGGGGGCGCGUGAUUUAUGCCUCGGUGCUAACCUGACAAGUAUGUUAAAGGGAGUCGUCUCUGUCCUCAGUGUGCAUGCCCGGCCACGACCGGGACGCCUGAAGGGGACAUACUGGCUCCCGACCUGGUUAUCCAGGUUCUGUACCGCACGCAUGACACGGCUCUCUGGGGAAAGC